This 406-nucleotide ribosomal RNA is filed under the name uncultured bacterium. RNAcentral's name for it is "partial 16S ribosomal RNA". It matches the Rfam family "Bacterial small subunit ribosomal RNA", at positions 30 to 526 of the family's 1533-position model. The record is from RNAcentral.
AUUGAACGCUGGCGGCAGGCCUAACACAUGCAAGUCGAGCGAGCGGCGGACGCGUGUGUAAUGUCUGGGAAACUGCCUGAUGUAGGGGGGUAACUCCUGGAAACGGUAGCUAAUACAGCAUACGAUCAGAUGUGCCCAGAUGGGAUUAGCUAGUAGGUGGGGUAACGGCUCACCUAGGCGACGAUCCCUAGCUGGUCUGAGAGGAGGACCAGCCACACUGGAACUGAGACACGGUCCAGACUCCUACGGGAGGCAGCAGUGGGGAAUAGUGCACAAUGGGCGCAAGCCUGAUGCAGCCAUGCCGCGUGUGUGAAGAAGGCCUUCGGGUUGUAAAGCACUUUCAGCGGGGAGGCGUUACCCGCAGAAGAAGCACCGGCUAACUCCGUGCCAGCAGCCGCGGUAAUUC